AGUGAACGCUGGCGGUAGGCCUAACACAUGCAAGUCGAACGGCAGCACAGUAAGAGCUUGCUCUUACGGGUGGCGAGUGGCGGACGGGUGAGGAAUACAUCGGACUCUACUUUUUCGUGGGGGAUAACGUAGGGAAACUUACGCUAAUACCGCAUACGACCUACGGGUGAAAGCAGGGGAUCUUCGGACCUUGCGCGAUUGAAUGAGCCGAUGUCGGAUUAGCUAGUUGGCGGGGUAAAGGCCCACCAAGGCGACGAUCCGUAGCUGGUCUGAGAGGAUGAUCAGCCACACUGGAACUGAGACACGGACCAGACGCCUACGGGAGGCAGCAGUGGCGAAUAUUGGACAAUGGGCGCAAGCCUGAUCCAGCCAUACCGCGUGGGUGAAGAAGGCCUUCGGGUUGGAAAGCCCUUUUGUUGGGAAAGAAAAGCAGCAGGUUAAUACCCCGCUGUUCUGACGGUACCCAAAGAAGAAGCACCGGCUAACUUCGUG
This 492-nucleotide ribosomal RNA is filed under the name uncultured bacterium. RNAcentral describes it as "partial 16S ribosomal RNA". It matches the Rfam family "Bacterial small subunit ribosomal RNA", at positions 29 to 507 of the family's 1533-position model. The record is from RNAcentral.